GACGAACGCUGGCGGCGUGCUUAACACAUGCAAGUCGAACGGAAAGGCCCCUUCGGGGGUACUCGAGUGGCGAACGGGUGAGUAACACGUGGGUGAUCUGCCCUGCACUUUGGGAUAAGCCUGGGAAACUGGGUCUAAUACCGAAUAGGACCGCAUGCUUCAUGGUGUGUGGUGGAAAGCUUUUGCGGUGUGGGAUGGGCCCGCGGCCUAUCAGCUUGUUGGUGGGGUAAUGGCCUACCAAGGCGACGACGGGUAGCCGGCCUGAGAGGGUGUCCGGCCACACUGGGACUGAGAUACGGCCCAGACUCCUACGGGAGGCAGCAGUGGGGAAUAUUGCACAAUGGGCGCAAGCCUGAUGCAGCGACGCCGCGUGGGGGAUGACGGCCUUCGGGUUGUAAACCUCUUUCAGUAUCGGCGAAGCUCCAGGAUUUUUCUUGGGGUGACGGUAGGUACAGAAGAAGCACCGGCCAACUACGUGC
RNAcentral lists this ribosomal RNA (479 nucleotides) under Mycobacterium arupense. RNAcentral describes it as "Mycolicibacter arupensis bacterial SSU rRNA". It matches the Rfam family "Bacterial small subunit ribosomal RNA", at positions 28 to 508 of the family's 1533-position model. Lineage: Bacteria; Bacillati; Actinomycetota; Actinomycetes; Mycobacteriales; Mycobacteriaceae. The record is from RNAcentral.